AUCUGAGAUCCAAGGAGUAAGUCAAAGUUUAUUCAGUGACAGGGAGCAGGAAUUAAGUUUAAUUAUUUUUCCAGGCAUAUGUGCAGAACGGUGGGGUGGGAGGCCUGAAUGUGGGUGAGCACUCACUAUGCAUGAAGAACUAAAAGAAUAUUGAAAUGACUGACAUAUGCACUGGUGAGAGAUGGUCAAAUAAAGUGCUCAACAUGCUUUGACUGUUGAAAAGAGACCUUUGGCACACAUUGAAGGGAUGGUGAUGGAGAUGCCAAUCCAUGGAAUCAGGUGGCACAGCUAUGUUGGUAGCUAUAGCAGAAGUCUUCUUGGCAAAGAUUCCUCCAGGGAAGGAAGGUACCAUUGGAGAACCAUGCAUGAAGACAGGGAAGAAAUGAUUGGAAUCAUGAAACAUUAAACUGGAAGGAAGCCCUAGGCAAACCUAACUCAUGGGAAAACAGACACCCACAUGUUACCCAGUUUAGUACCAAAACCAAGGCUGGUAUUUGCAUAAAUAUACUUUUCUUCUCUAUCUAAUAUCAAGGCCUUCUUAGUAUUGUUAAUAGGCCUUAAGCUUGGUUUGUCUACAUAGAAAUCAAAAUAACAAUGUCAACCCAUGAAAGAAUUAAAAGAAGUCCCAAACAG
RNAcentral lists this long non-coding RNA (633 nucleotides) under Homo sapiens (human). RNAcentral describes it as "HSALNT0264314". The record is from RNAcentral. Lineage: Eukaryota; Metazoa; Chordata; Mammalia; Primates; Hominidae.